UUGUGAUCAACUCAGGUCUGCCAGCU
RNAcentral lists this non-coding RNA (26 nucleotides) under Mus musculus (house mouse). Lineage: Eukaryota; Metazoa; Chordata; Mammalia; Rodentia; Muridae. The record is from RNAcentral.